CCAUGCAGUCGAACGAUGAACCACCUUCGGGUGGGGAUUAGUGGCGAACGGGUGAGUAACACGUGGGCAAUCUGCCCUUCACUCUGGGACAAGCCCUGGAAACGGGGUCUAAUACCGGAUACUGACCUGCCAAGGCAUCUUGGCGGGUCGAAAGCUCCGGCGGUGAAGGAUGAGCCCGCGGCCUAUCAGCUUGUUGGUGAGGUAAUGGCUCACCAAGGCGACGACGGGUAGCCGGCCUGAGAGGGCGACCGGCCACACUGGGACUGAGACACGGCCCAGACUCCUACGGGAGGCAGCAGUGGGGAAUAUUGCACAAUGGGCGAAAGCCUGAUGCAGCGACGCCGCGUGAGGGAUGACGGCCUUCGGGUUGUAAACCUCUUUCAGCAGGGAAGAAGCGAAAGUGACGGUACCUGCAGAAUAAUCGCCGGCUAACUACGUGCCAGCAGCCGCGGUAAUACGUAGGGCGCACCGCGUUGUCCGGAAUUAUUGGGCGUAAAGAGCUCGUAGGCGGCUUGUCACGUCGGUUGUGAAAGCCCGGGGCUUAACCCCGGGUCUGCAGUCGAUACGGGCAGGCUAGAGUUCGGUAGGGGAGAUCGGAAUUCCUGGUGUAGCGGUGAAAUGCGCAGAUAUCAGGAGGAACACCGGUGGCGAAGGCGGAUCUCUGGGCCGAUACUGACGCUGAGGAGCGAAAGCGUGGGGAGCGAACAGGAUUAGAUACCCUGGUAGUCCACGCCGUAAACGGUGGGCACUAGGUGUGGGCAACAUUCCAC
Molecule: ribosomal RNA, 770 nt
Filed under: Streptomyces sp. 5-18
Lineage: Bacteria; Bacillati; Actinomycetota; Actinomycetes; Kitasatosporales; Streptomycetaceae
Description: bacterial SSU rRNA
Rfam family: Bacterial small subunit ribosomal RNA
Source: RNAcentral